UACGUAGGGUGCGAGCGUUGUCCGGAAUUAUUGGGCGUAAAGAGCUCGUAGGCGGCUCGUCGCGUCUGCCGUGAAAACCCGCAGCUCAACUGCGGGCUUGCGGUUGAUACGGGCGGGCUGGAGUUCGGUAGGGGAGACUGGAAUUCCUGGUGUAGCGGUGAAAUGCGCAGAUAUCAGGAGGAACACCGGUGGCGAAGGCGGGUCUCUGGGCCGAUACUGACGCUGAGGAGCGAAAGCGUGGGGAGCGAACAGG
This 253-nucleotide ribosomal RNA is filed under the name uncultured bacterium. Its description in RNAcentral is "partial 16S ribosomal RNA". It matches the Rfam family "Bacterial small subunit ribosomal RNA", at positions 524 to 776 of the family's 1533-position model. The record is from RNAcentral.